CCUACGGGAGGCAGCAGUAGGGAAUCUUCCACAAUGGGCGAAAGCCUGAUGGAGCAACGCCGCGUGGGUGAAGAAGGUCUUCGGAUCGUAAAACCCUGUUGUUAGAGAAGAAAGUGCGUGAGAGUAACUGUUCACGUUUCGACGGUAUCUAACCAGAAAGCCACGGCUAAAUACGUGCCAGCAGCCGCGGUAAUACGUAGGUGGCAAGCGUUAUCCGGAUUGAUUGGGCGUAAAGGUAACGCAGGCGGUCUUUUAAGUCUGAUGUGAAAGCCUUCGGCUUAACCGGAGUAGUGCAUUGGAAACUGGGGGACUUGAGUGCAGAAGAGGAGAGUGGAACUCCAUGUGUAGCGGUGAAAUGCGUAGAUAUAUGGAAGAACACCAGUGGCGAAAGCGGCUCUCUGGUCUGUAACUGACGCUGAGGUUCGAAAGCGUGGGUAGCAAACAGGAUUAGAUACCCGGGUAGUC
This 465-nucleotide ribosomal RNA is filed under the name uncultured bacterium. RNAcentral describes it as "partial 16S ribosomal RNA". It matches the Rfam family "Bacterial small subunit ribosomal RNA", at positions 338 to 795 of the family's 1533-position model. The record is from RNAcentral.